GACGAACGCUGGCGGCGUGCCUAAUACAUGCAAGUCGAACGCAGUGGCGAACGGGUGAGUAACGCGUAGGUAACUGCCGCAUAGCGGGGGAUAACUAUUGGAAACGAUAGCUAAUACCGCAUACUGUGAGAUGGACAUGCGUUGUAUUAGCUAGUUGGUGAGGUAAAGGCUCACCAAGGAGACGAUACAUAGCCGACCUUGGAGGGUGAUCGGCCCCACGUGGAACGGAACAAGGCCCAGACUCCUACGGGGCGGCACAGUAGGGAAUCUUCGGAAAUGGACGGAAGUCUGACCGAGGAACUCCGGGGGAGUGAAAGAGGUUUUCGGAGCUUAAAGCUCUGUUGUUAGAGAAGCGGUAACUACCCAGAAAGGGACGGCUAACUACGUGCCAGCAGCCGCGGUAAUUC
RNAcentral lists this ribosomal RNA (407 nucleotides) under uncultured bacterium. Its description in RNAcentral is "partial 16S ribosomal RNA". It matches the Rfam family "Bacterial small subunit ribosomal RNA", at positions 28 to 526 of the family's 1533-position model. The record is from RNAcentral.